AUUUUUUUUAAAUGCUGUCCCGAUUAAGCAGGACUCACAUUAACCAGUAUCUAAAGUAGACGUUUACUGGGGUGAAAAAUACACUUUCCAUUAAUAUAUCCAUCCCACUCCCUUGUGCACAGUAGGUGGGACUAUUUGCAAACUUAAGAAUUAGUUUUAUGUAUAUUAACCACCUUCCAAACGAGGUAAUUCCCUCCAUUUUCAAGCACUCAUGUUGAUUCGAGACCCUCUGACUUUUGGCCUUUAGAAACUGCUCUCCACUUGAGUCCCAAGACAGAACCACAUUUAGCAACGGGUCUUCUGACUUCCUGAUACCCAAACCCACAAGCGCCAGGACUGCUGUGUCCGUUCGUUAUAAAACACUGUUUGCGCCUUUCACCUUCCGGGGAGAACCAGGGCUUUCCGCCCCGGGGCGCCGCUGGGAGGGGAGGGUCACGCGUUUGCAAAGCAAACACCGGGGUCUGGCCGAGCGGCGUCCGGGGGGUUAGGCGGCGGCUCUCCUCCCCGGAGGCUGAGCCGGCCGGCAGCGCUCAGGCUGAAGGAGAAAAGAAGAAGGUCAGCAAUGCUGAUGAUAAAAACAAAGAGCAGUGGAAACAAAAGAAAUAAGAAGGCGGCAGAAGGCAACUUAAUCUGAAUUAAGCCCUAUCCGAUCAAACACUCCAACCCCGGAGGAAGCGCACUGUUGGAGGAACUAAGAAUGAUCCAGCCUGACCUUCAGUUGCAGGACAAGAACUGUGGUGCGGAAAAGCUGCACCCGAUUUAGGAGACCCCAGGGUCUAGGUCUGGGACCAAAUUAAGUUACUGUACUGAGCAAGUUAUUUUGCCUUUUUUUGACACUGUUAGUGUUUUAAGCACCUUUGUACAGUUUACUUGGCACUAUAAACGUGAAUUCUGAAGUG
Molecule: long non-coding RNA, 899 nt
Organism: Myotis davidii
Lineage: Eukaryota; Metazoa; Chordata; Mammalia; Chiroptera; Vespertilionidae
Exons: 2
Source: RefSeq, a predicted model, not a curated record